Molecule: ribosomal RNA, 465 nt
Filed under: uncultured bacterium
Lineage: Bacteria
Description: partial 16S ribosomal RNA
Rfam family: Bacterial small subunit ribosomal RNA
Source: RNAcentral
GACGAACGCUGGCGGCGUGCUUAACACAUGCAAGUCGAACGGAAAGGCCCUGCUUGCCGGGUACUCGAGUGGCGAACGGGUGAGUAACACGUGGGUGAUCUGCCCUGCACUUCGGGAUAAGCUUGGGAAACUGGGUCUAAUACCGGAUAGGAGCCAUCUUUAGUGUGGUGGUUGGAAAGUUUUUUCGGUGUAGGAUGAGCUCGCGGCCUAUCAGCUUGUUGGUGGGGUAAUGGCCUACCAAGGCGGCGACGGGUAGCCGGCCUGAGAGGGUGUACGGCCACAUUGGGACUGAGAUACGGCCCAGACUCCUACGGGAGGCAGCAGGGGGGAAUAUUGCACAAUGGGCGCAAGCCUGAUGCAGCGACGCCGCGUGGGGGAGGAAGGCCUUCGGGUUGUAAACUCCUUUCGCUAGGGACGAAGCUUUUUGUGACGGUACCUAGAGAAGAAGCACCGGCUAACUACGUG